GCCCUUCGGGGUACACGAGUGGCGAACGGGUGAGUAACACGUGGGUGAUCUGCCCUGCACUUUGGGAUAAGCCUGGGAAACUGGGUCUAAUACCGGAUANGACCGCGCACUUUCACGGUGUGUGGUGGAAAGCUUUUGCGGUGUGGGAUGGGCCCGCGGCCUAUCAGCUUGUUGGUGGGGUAAUGGCCUACCAAGGCGACGACGGGUAGCCGGCCUGAGAGGGUGUCCGGCCACACUGGGACUGAGAUACGGCCCAGACUCCUACGGGAGGCAGCAGUGGGGAAUAUUGCACAAUGGGCGCAAGCCUGAUGCAGCGACGCCGCGUGGGGGAUGACGGCCUUCGGGUUGUAAACCUCUUUCANUUAGGGACGAAGCGCAAGUGACGGUACCUACAGAAGAAGCACCGGCCAACUACGUGCCAGCAGCCGCGGUAAUACGUAGGGUGCGAGCGUUGUCCGGAAUUACUGGGCGUAAAGAGCUCGUAGG
RNAcentral lists this ribosomal RNA (486 nucleotides) under uncultured Mycobacterium sp. RNAcentral describes it as "bacterial SSU rRNA". It matches the Rfam family "Bacterial small subunit ribosomal RNA", at positions 75 to 575 of the family's 1533-position model. The record is from RNAcentral. Lineage: Bacteria; Bacillati; Actinomycetota; Actinomycetes; Mycobacteriales; Mycobacteriaceae.